This 467-nucleotide ribosomal RNA is filed under the name uncultured bacterium. RNAcentral's name for it is "partial 16S ribosomal RNA". It matches the Rfam family "Bacterial small subunit ribosomal RNA", at positions 28 to 507 of the family's 1533-position model. The record is from RNAcentral.
GACGAACGCUGGCGGCGUGCUUAACACAUGCAAGUCGAACGGAAAGGCCCUGCUUUUGUGGGGUGCUCGAGUGGCGAACGGGUGAGUAACACGUGAGUAACCUGCCCUUGACUUUGGGAUAACUUCAGGAAACUGGGGCUAAUACCGGAUAGGAGCUCCUGCUGCAUGGUGGGGGUUGGAAAGUUUCGGCGGUUGGGGAUGGACUCGCGGCUUAUCAGCUUGUUGGUGGGGUAGUGGCUUACCAAGGCUUUGACGGGUAGCCGGCCUGAGAGGGUGACCGGCCACAUAGGGCUAGGGAAGGGGCCCGGGCGCAACGGGGGGGAAGGGGGGGGAAACUUUGCCAACGGGGCGGAGGGCGGGAAGAAGACCGCCGGGGGGGGGACCGCGGCUUUCGGGUAGGAAACGGUUUCCGCUUGUGACGGGGGCUAAGGACGGGAAAUGGAGAAAAAGGACCGGCUAACUACGGG